AUACGCCCCGUGUUUCAUGUGUCACAGCUGAAGUCAUUCACCGCGAACUACUCUCCGGUCUUCUCCGAGUUGCCGGAGCCGCCAGAUCUCUCCGCCAUGCCACUGCAACCGUUGGCUAUUCUAGAAUGUCGCAUGGUCAAGAAGGGGAACACGGCGAUACCACAGGUCAAGGUACGCCGAAGCGGCAUCCCGGAUGAACACAUGAUGUGGGAAGAUUACUAUGUCCUGCGCUCGCGUUUUCCGGCGGCCACUCUCCGGGAAGAAGCUAAAUCUCAAGGCAGGGGGAGUGUCACGUCCCCACCUCUGACUGGGUCGCAGGUGGCGACGGACCACCAGGCAGCGGGACCCGACCCCACUCGUCAGGGACCUCAAGUGGCUGGUUGA
This 384-nucleotide ribosomal RNA is filed under the name Triticum aestivum (bread wheat). RNAcentral describes it as "partial small subunit ribosomal RNA". The record is from RNAcentral. Lineage: Eukaryota; Viridiplantae; Streptophyta; Magnoliopsida; Poales; Poaceae.